GUGGGGAAUAUUGGACAAUGGGCGAAAGCCUGAUCCAGCCAUGCCGCGUGUGUGAAGAAGGUCUUCGGAUUGUAAAGCACUUUAAGUUGGGAGGAAGGGCAUUAACCUAAUACGUUAGUGUUUUGACGUUACCGACAGAAUAAGCACCGGCUAACUUCGUGCCAGCAGCCGCGGUAAUACGAAGGGUGCAAGCGUUAAUCGGAAUUACUGGGCGUAAAGCGCGCGUAGGUGGUUCAGUAAGUUGGAUGUGAAAUCCCCGGGCUCAACCUGGGAACUGCAUCCAAAACUGCUGAGCUAGAGUACGGUAGAGGGUGGUGGAAUUUCCUGUGUAGCGGUGAAAUGCGUAGAUAUAGGAAGGAACACCAGUGGCGAAGGCGACCACCUGGACUGAUACUGACACUGAGGUGCGAAAGCGUGGGGAGCAAACAGGAUUAGAAACCCUGGUAGUCC
Molecule: ribosomal RNA, 450 nt
Filed under: uncultured bacterium
Lineage: Bacteria
Description: bacterial SSU rRNA
Rfam family: Bacterial small subunit ribosomal RNA
Source: RNAcentral